RNAcentral lists this non-coding RNA (31 nucleotides) under Homo sapiens (human). Lineage: Eukaryota; Metazoa; Chordata; Mammalia; Primates; Hominidae. The record is from RNAcentral.
UCAUUUUACAGAUGAGCCAACUGAAGUCCCA